Molecule: transfer RNA, 73 nt
Filed under: Limosilactobacillus reuteri
Lineage: Bacteria; Bacillati; Bacillota; Bacilli; Lactobacillales; Lactobacillaceae
Description: Lactobacillus reuteri tRNA-Met
Rfam family: tRNA
About the family: Transfer RNA (tRNA) molecules are approximately 80 nucleotides in length. Their secondary structure includes four short double-helical elements and three loops (D, anti-codon, and T loops). Further hydrogen bonds mediate the characteristic L-shaped molecular structure. tRNAs have two regions of fundamental functional importance: the anti-codon, which is responsible for specific mRNA codon recognition, and the 3' end, to which the tRNAs corresponding amino acid is attached (by aminoacyl-tRNA synthetases). tRNAs cope with the degeneracy of the genetic code in two manners: having more than one tRNA (with a specific anti-codon) for a particular amino acid; and 'wobble' base-pairing, i.e. permitting non-standard base-pairing at the 3rd anti-codon position.
Source: RNAcentral
GGACUUUUAGCUCAGUCGGUAGAGCAAGCGGCUCAUAACCGCUCGGUCGUAGGUUCGAGUCCUACAAAGUCCA